This 468-nucleotide ribosomal RNA is filed under the name uncultured bacterium. RNAcentral describes it as "partial 16S ribosomal RNA". It matches the Rfam family "Bacterial small subunit ribosomal RNA", at positions 28 to 507 of the family's 1533-position model. The record is from RNAcentral.
GACGAACGCUGGCGGCGUGCUUAACACAUGCAAGUCGAACGGAAAGGCCCUGCUUUUGUGGGGUGCUCGAGUGGCGAACGGGUGAGUAACACGUGAGUAACCUGCCCUUGACUUUGGGAUAACUUCAGGAAACUGGGGCUAAUACCGGAUAGGAGCUCCUGCUGCAUGGUGGGGGUUGGAAAGUUUCGGCGGUUGGGGAUGGACUCGCGGCUUAUCAGCUUGUUGGUGGGGUAGUGGCUUACCAAGGCUUUGACGGGUAGCCGGCCUGAGAGGGUGACCGGCCACAUUGGGACUGAGAUACGGCCCAGACUCCUACGGGAGGCAGCAGUGGGGAAUAUUGCACAAUAGGCGGAAGCCUGAUGCAGCAACGCAGCGUGCGGGAUGACGGCCUUCGGGUUGUAAACCGCUUUCGCCUGUGACGAAGCGUGAGUGACGGUAAUGGGUAAAGAAGCACCGGCUAACUACGUG